UUUCUACUCCAUCCGUCCAAAAAUACUUGUCAUCAAAAUGGAUAAAAAUAGAUGUAUCUAAAACUAAAAUAUGUCUAGCUACAUUUCCUUUUAUCCAUUUUGAUGACAAGUAUUUCCGGACAGAGGGAGUAUUUG
Non-coding RNA from Triticum aestivum (bread wheat), 135 nucleotides. The record is from Rfam. Lineage: Eukaryota; Viridiplantae; Streptophyta; Magnoliopsida; Poales; Poaceae.